GAUGAACGCUGGCGGCGUGCCUAAUACAUGCAAGUAGAACGCUGAAGGAGGAGCUUGCUCUUUCCGGAUGAGUUGCGAACGGGUGAGUAACGCGUAGGUAACCUGCCUGGUAGCGGGGGAUAACUAUUGGAAACGAUAGCUAAUACCGCAUAACAGUAGAUAUUGCAUGAUAUUUGCUUGAAAUGGGCAAUUGCUCCACUACCAGAUGGACCUGCGUUGUAUUAGCUAGUUGGUGAGGUAACGGCUCACCAAGGCGACGAUACAUAGCCGACCUGAGAGGGUGAUCGGCCACACUGGGACUGAGACACGGCACAGACGCAUACGGGAGGCAGCAGUAGGGAAUCGUCGGCAAUAGACGGAAGUCUGACCGAGCAACGCCGCGUGAGUGAAGAAGGUUUUCGGAUCGUAAAGCUCUGUUGUAAGAGAAGAACGAGUGUGAGAGUGGAAAGUUCACACUGUGACGGUAUCUUACCAGAAAGGGACGGCUAACUACGUG
Molecule: ribosomal RNA, 496 nt
Filed under: uncultured bacterium
Lineage: Bacteria
Description: partial 16S ribosomal RNA
Rfam family: Bacterial small subunit ribosomal RNA
Source: RNAcentral